GAUCAUGGCUCAGGACGAACGCUGGCGGCACGCCUAACACAUGCAAGUCGAACGGAGAAAAUGAUUUCGGUUAUUUUCUUAGUGGCGGACGGGUGAGUAACACGUGAGGAACCUGCCUUUGAGAGUGGGAUAGCUUCUGGAAACGGAUGGUAAUACCGCAUAACAUAGCGAAACCGCAUGAUUUUGCUAUCAAAGUAUUUCGCUCAGAGAUGGUCUCGCGCCUGAUUAGAUAGUUGG
This 237-nucleotide ribosomal RNA is filed under the name uncultured bacterium. RNAcentral describes it as "partial 16S ribosomal RNA". It matches the Rfam family "Bacterial small subunit ribosomal RNA", at positions 15 to 252 of the family's 1533-position model. The record is from RNAcentral.